This 49-nucleotide microRNA precursor is filed under the name Capra hircus (goat). RNAcentral's name for it is "miRNA (ENSCHIG00010012492.1)". Lineage: Eukaryota; Metazoa; Chordata; Mammalia; Artiodactyla; Bovidae. The record is from RNAcentral.
GACGAAUAUAACACAGAUGGCCUGUUUUCAGUACCACCCACCCCUCGUG